CCUACGGGAGGCUGCAGUGGGGAAUAUUGGACAAUGGGCGAAAGCCUGAUCCAGCCAUGCCGCGUGUGUGAAGAAGGCCUUCGGGUUGUAAAGCACUUUCAGUGGGGAAGAAAGCCUUGGGGCUAAUACCCUCGAGGAAGGACAUCACCCACAGAAGAAGCACCGGCUAACUCCGUGCCAGCAGCCGCGGUAAUACGGAGGGUGCGAGCGUUAAUCGGAAUUACUGGGCGUAAAGCGCGCGUAGGCGGUCUGAUAAGCCGGUUGUGAAAGCCCCGGGCUCAACCUGGGAACGGCAUCCGGAACUGGCAGGCUAGAGUGCAGGAGAGGAAAGUAGAAUUCCCGGUGUAGCGGUGAAAUGCGUAGAGAUCGGGAGGAAUACCAGUGGCGAAGGCGGCCUUCUGGACUGACACUGACGCUGAGGUGCGAAAGCGUGGGUAGCAAACAGGAUUAGAUACCCCAGUAGUC
This 465-nucleotide ribosomal RNA is filed under the name Vreelandella stevensii. RNAcentral's name for it is "partial 16S ribosomal RNA". It matches the Rfam family "Bacterial small subunit ribosomal RNA", at positions 338 to 795 of the family's 1533-position model. Lineage: Bacteria; Pseudomonadati; Pseudomonadota; Gammaproteobacteria; Oceanospirillales; Halomonadaceae. The record is from RNAcentral.